CACGUAGGGCGCAAGCGUUGUCCGGAAUUAUUGGGCGUAAAGAGCUCGUAGGCGGUCUGUUGCGUCCGCUGUGAAAACUCGGGGCUUAACCCCGAGCCUGCAGUGGAUACGGGCAGACUAGAGGUAGGUAGGGGAGAAUGGAAUUCCCGGUGUAGCGGUGAAAUGCGCAGAUAUCGGGAGGAACGCCGGUGGCGAAAGCGAUCCGCUGGACCGCUUCUGACGCUGAGGCGCGAAAGCCAGGGGAGCAAACGGG
Molecule: ribosomal RNA, 253 nt
Filed under: uncultured bacterium
Lineage: Bacteria
Description: partial 16S ribosomal RNA
Rfam family: Bacterial small subunit ribosomal RNA
Source: RNAcentral